UUACUCUGGCUUCUCUUCAUCGUAUGAUUCUUUCGCCUUUUACUAAAGAAUUCCGUGGAGGGGAGCAUUUCAAUGAGUCUUAAGAUAUUUUUCUGCAACUGACUUCGGUUAGGUU
This is a non-coding RNA of Ciona savignyi (Pacific transparent sea squirt), 115 nucleotides long. NCBI's taxonomy places the organism in Eukaryota, Metazoa, Chordata, Ascidiacea, Phlebobranchia, Cionidae. The record is from Rfam.